RNAcentral lists this ribosomal RNA (400 nucleotides) under uncultured bacterium. RNAcentral's name for it is "bacterial SSU rRNA". It matches the Rfam family "Bacterial small subunit ribosomal RNA", at positions 355 to 752 of the family's 1533-position model. The record is from RNAcentral.
UGAGGAAUAUUGGGCAAUGGACGAAAGUCUGACCCAGCAACGCCGCGUGGAGGAUGAAUGCCGUAAGGUUGUAAACUCCUUUUGAAGGGGACGAAAAAUUCCGAUAGCAUCGGAACUUGACUGUACCCUUAGAAGAAGCCCCGGCUAACUACGUGCCAGCAGCCGCGGUAAUACGUAGGGGGCAAGCGUUGUCCGGAUUUACUGGGUGUAAAGGGCGCGUAGGCGGAUUUGUUAGUCAAGGGUGAAAUCCUACAGCUUAACUGUAGAACUGCCUUUUAUACUGCAAAUCUUGAGUUCGGAAGAGAGUAGCGGAAUUCCAGGUGUAGUGGUGAAAUACGUAGAUAUCUGGAAGAACACCAGUGGCGAAGGCGGCUACUUGGUCCGUAACUGACGCUGAGGC